RNAcentral lists this ribosomal RNA (482 nucleotides) under uncultured bacterium. Its description in RNAcentral is "partial 16S ribosomal RNA". It matches the Rfam family "Bacterial small subunit ribosomal RNA", at positions 30 to 507 of the family's 1533-position model. The record is from RNAcentral.
AUUGAACGCUGGCGGCAUGCUCUACACAUGCAAGUCGAACGGUAACAGCACUUCGGUGGCUGACGAGUGGCGAACGGGUGAGUAAUACAUCGGAACGUGCCUAGUAGUGGGGGAUAACUACUCGAAAGAGUAGCUAAUACCGCAUGAGAUCUAAGGAUGAAAGCAGGGGACCUUCGGGCCUUGCGCUACUAGAGCGGCUGAUGGCAGAUUAGGUAGUUGGUGGGAUAAAAGCUUACCAAGCCGACGAUCUGUAGCUGGUCUGAGAGGACGACCAGCCACACUGGGACUGAGACACGGCCCAGACUCCUACGGGAGGCAGCAGUGGGGAAUUUUGGACAAUGGGCGCAAGCCUGAUCCAGCAAUGCCGCGUGCAGGAUGAAGGCCUUCGGGUUGUAAACUGCUUUUGUACGGAACGAAAAGCCCUCUUCUAAUACAGGAGGGUCAUGACGGUACCGUAAGAAUAAGCACCGGCUAACUACGUG